CGUUGGUGAUAAAUUUGAUAAGUCUACAAAAGUAUUAAACAAGUCCGUUAUGCAUGGAUUUUAUACUUGAUGACUUAUUUUCAAGACUUUGUAUGGUUGUGUGUAAAACCAUUUAUAUCUUAUAUUAAUCAACACUUAUCUUGCAAUUUCCUAAAUGUGUUUAUGUGUAUACAUUUCUAUGUAUAAAAAAUAUACAAAUCAAACGCAUAGUUAGGAAUCUUUAUAUACAAGUGAGUUCAUUUUAAUAGAAAUCAAAUUUUAUACGAAUCCUUUAACUAGAUUUUUUAAGCAUGACCAAACCAACACUCCACCACACCAUACCAUCAUCAUUAGAAGACCAACCACUAUUUUGAUCACUUAUUAAAUAAUUCAUAUUGUACACAUGCUUCUGUACGAUGAUUGUCAUACAAUUCAUUCAUGCUUAUACAUUAACACACGUUUAACUUGAUUAUAAAAAAAAUCAUAUUGACUUUUGACACCAAAAUCUCGGUCUACACACCUCAAAGACAUGAUAAUGUUUUGGAUUUGCUGAAUUCCUUGUCCACAUGUGUGAAAACUUGAACAUAAUAACAAUAAUAACAUCAACACUCAUUUUAUAAUACCAUCAUCUAGUCUUUAGAAGGAAUAUACAAACACACGCAACCUUCUGCUCUCUCUCUCAAGAAACUGGUGACCGGAGAUCGGAGCUCCGGCGACGCGCACCCCCUGCAAACCACCCUCCUCCUCCCUCUUCACUUUAAACCAUCCCAUAGCCCCCUGUUUCUCUCAGUUACACGGCCGGCCACCACCCAACCGGUGGUGGCGUACGGCGGCGGCAGUGGAUUCCGACGACCCUGAUGAUGAUGAUAAUGUUGAUAAAGCUGAUGAUGAUGAAUUCAAACUCCGACAGCCGUAUCUCACUCUGGUUCCGAUGAUGACGAUAUUGUCACUGAUGUUGACGAUGGUGACGAUACUGAUGGAGAUGAAUGGCAGCGACAGUGGUGCGAUGGUGUGGAGGAUCCGACGCAAAUAACUCCGGUCGUAUCAAUAACGGUGGUGGUGGGUUCGUGGUGGUGACAGUGGUGAGCGUCUAAGGUUGUGGAGGUGAUGAUUACUUCUGAUCGACUUGGAGAUGAGUUUCAGCUCGGUUUCGGUUCAGGCUCAACCAUGGUUCUGUUUCGGGUUCUUGGUUCGAGCCGGGUUAUAACGUUCCAGCUUCAUGAUGCGGCUCGGUCAACUCACGGUUCGGGUUACGUCUCGGCUCAGCUUGGGUUGAUUCGGGUCAAAGAUGUGUACGGUCAUCAGGUCAGUUUUGGGUUCAUGACUCGAUUUGGGUCCAGUUAAAACCAAGUCCACUGCAGGUUCUCGUUUCGAGUCAACUGGUCAGCCACGGUUCGGGUGCGGUUCGAUGGGCCAGAUUUUGGUUCGUAAUAAUUUUGGUCAACUGUGGUCAACCCCGGUCAACAUCAGGUCAACUGCGGUCAACAACAGUCAAACGUGACCCGGUAACAUUCAAAAACGUGAAAUCUCGUUAAUUAGUUAUGGAUUUUAGGUAGUUAGUUUACGCGACCGAGCUCGACCCGACCCGAUUCAAUUAGAGACUGGUUUAUGUUUCGAUAUUUUGACGAGAAAUUUUAUACAUAUAUUGUUUGAUUGAAAUAUUGUUGAAUUUUGAUAAAUAUAUCGACACUUUGAUUG
Molecule: long non-coding RNA, 1677 nt
Organism: Helianthus annuus (common sunflower)
Lineage: Eukaryota; Viridiplantae; Streptophyta; Magnoliopsida; Asterales; Asteraceae
Exons: 2
Source: RefSeq, a predicted model, not a curated record